ACGAGCCGGAUGAAUCGAGAGGUUCACGUCCGGAUCUGUGGGGGCGGGCAGGUGCGAUUCCUGCCCGCUACCCGGC
This 76-nucleotide non-coding RNA is filed under the name Kribbella caucasensis. The record is from RNAcentral. Lineage: Bacteria; Bacillati; Actinomycetota; Actinomycetes; Propionibacteriales; Kribbellaceae.